RNAcentral lists this ribosomal RNA (254 nucleotides) under uncultured bacterium. RNAcentral describes it as "partial 16S ribosomal RNA". It matches the Rfam family "Bacterial small subunit ribosomal RNA", at positions 524 to 776 of the family's 1533-position model. The record is from RNAcentral.
UACGUGAGUGGCAAGCGUUAUCCGGAAUCAUUGGGCGUAAAGCGUCCGUAGGGGGAUAUUCAAGUGAAAUGUUAAAUCCUUCGACCUAAUCGAAGCCAUGCAUUUCAUACUGUUUAUCUAGAAGAUAGGAGAGGUAAAUAGAAUUUCCGGAGUAGGGGUAAUAUCCGUAGAGACCGGAAGGAAUACCAAUAGCGAAGGCAAUUUACUGGCCUAUUCUUGACCCUGAAGUGACGAAAGCGUGGGGAGCAAACAGG